AGCCCUGGCCCCUAAAAGUCUCUCAAAUACAUCAAUCCAUUUUUUUUUCUUUUUCUUUUUUUAAAAAGAGAGUGCGAGUGAAAAAUGUGACUGUGGAAAUCAGAGGUAAAGACUGAAUGGGAAGGAGGAUGGGAAGAGGUGACAAACAAAUGUAUCAAGACUAUUUUGGACUACUUUGGAGAUGGAGAGGUGUCUAGAUGCAGUCAAUCAAAUGCCAGAGGCAAGAUGCUCAUAUUCCGUGUUCCAACUACCUGAAAAGGCUUGUUCUUCUGUUCCGUCUCAUUGUCUCCCGCUGUGGCCAUCAGCCUCCGGCCCAAGCGAUCGGUGGCCACAAAC
Long non-coding RNA from Alosa alosa (allis shad), 336 nucleotides. RefSeq lists it as uncharacterized. NCBI's taxonomy places the organism in Eukaryota, Metazoa, Chordata, Actinopteri, Clupeiformes, Clupeidae. The record is from RefSeq and is a predicted model, not a curated record. The transcript is spliced from 3 exons.